This 2481-nucleotide long non-coding RNA is filed under the name Capra hircus (goat). RNAcentral's name for it is "lncRNA (ENSCHIG00000002066.1)". Lineage: Eukaryota; Metazoa; Chordata; Mammalia; Artiodactyla; Bovidae. The record is from RNAcentral.
UGCCUGGGAGGUGGAAACUUCCAGGAUGCCUUUGGCCACAUCCCCAGUCCUGGAGGACUGAACUUGUAUUUGUGUCUUCAGUAAAUCUGUUCCUGGGAAGAGUGACUUGGAAGCGACCGGGUGCCUGGUACUUGGCUAAGAGCUGGACCCUACAACAGAUCACACUGAUUUCCUCGUUUUGCAGAAGGUGAAAAGAUGGCACAGAGAGGUUAUGUAACAAGCCCCUAGGUUGUACAGCUGGAAGAGCUGCACCUGGGGUUUAGAUCUGGCCCUGGAUUGGUCUUGUCAACUGCAGUACAAUAUUGCCUCUCAGGCAGAAGUGAGGCAGGAAUGGAAACCUGUUUUGGGGUAGAAAUAGCUCUGUUCUGUGCUGGAAUCAACAUUUGCAGGCCACACUGGACCCUGGAGAGCCUCACGCGCAUGCAGAAAAUUCAGGAAUGGCCCCCUCCACUCUCUGAAAGGCACCUGCUGGAUGUAGGAAAUAGUCCCCCAUGACCCCACAAGGCAGCGUGUUUGACUCCGAGGCCUGCGUGCUUCAGAUGGCGCUCGAGGACUCAUUCUGUCUCCCAGGAAGGCAUGGCUUUGACGUGUUUCAAAAAUACCAACUGAGAGCUCCAGGAUCAGCGAGUCCUGAUUCGAUGCCUGUGCCAGUCAGCAUCCAGAUGGCCGUGUGGCUGAGUGUGGUCCUUGAUACCAGAAGUCUUCUACCACCAAGAUUUGAUCGUGGCGACCUGGUGGAGGAGAGGGUGGGAAAGCCAGGGGGAGCUGGGGCAGGGUCCCUGUGGCCCCGGAGUGGGAGGCGGCAGGAAGUCUGCUUCCUGCUCUAUAAGGGCUGGGCGUGCAGUCUGGGGCAGACUCAGACUUCCUCCAUCUCUUCCUCUCGAACUCUUCCUGGCGGCAGGGACCUGCACGUCCUUUUUCCUUCUCAGGUAAACAUACAAGGUCUCCCAGUUUAAAGCAAUUCACAGUCGCAUUGGGAGAAAAAAAGAAUGUCUCAGUUUGAUUCUGAAUGAAGUUUAAUAGCCUUGAUCAAUAAUUUGUUAUAGAUUUUUUAAUAGACUUUAUUUUUUAGGAUGAGAUGGUUGGAUGGCAUCACCGACUCCAUGGACAUGAGUUUGAGCAAGCUCCGGGAGCUGGUGAUGGACAGGGAAGCCUGGCAUGCUGCAGUCCACGGGGUCGCAGAGCCAGACAAACUUAGUGACUGAGCAACAACCGCGAUAAUUUCUUAGAACUGUUUUGGAUUCACAGCAAAAUCGAGCAGAAGGAGCAGAGGUUUCCAUCUGCCCCCUCCCCUUACUUUCUUUCCCACCAUCAGCAUCCCCAUCAGGUGGUCCAUGUGUUACAACUGAUGAACCUACCUGGAUGCAUCGUCGUCAUGCAGCAUGGAUGCACCAUUGACAUCAGGGAUCACUCUUGGUGUUGUACGUUCUAUGGGAUUGGACAAACGUUUAGUGACACGUAUUCAUCAUUAUAGUGCCACACGGCGUGUUUUUUCCACCCUAAAAAUCCUCUAUGCUCCAUCUAGUCAUCCCUCAAUAAUUUGCUCUAGAUUUCUAGCCUAAACUUUAUAUCUCAGUUUGACAUUUUUCUUGUUAAAACCCUAAGGGGAUUCAGCGCAGCGAAUUUGCUGCGUUAAUUAUUAUCGGCACAUGGAUCGAAGCUCUGCAUUCACAUUUCCUAACAUUUUAUUUGAAUACGACCAUUCUUGGAAGAAGUCAGCAGUGCCCUGGCAGCAAACAUGUUCUGGUGACACAUCCCCCGUGAUGCCACGCCGUCUCUGUCGGUCGGUUGGUGGAAGUUAAGAGGUGAUUUCCAGGCACAGUGAGUGAUGUAAUUUGAUACUGUAUUAAAUUCUAUGUUUGAGAAAAAACAGAGGUGUCAUGAAGCCACGGAGUGGCAUCUGGAGGUGCCAAAGAAACCAGCAUGUAAACAUACACCUGCAGGUCCCACAGGCCUGCAGAGAAGGUGGGGUGUCUCACCUCCACUCCUUCUGGGAACUGCUGCCCCCCACCCCUUGUCCCAUCCUGCAACCUCCCCUCCCUCAGCCCAAGUGCUGCUGCUGCUGCUGCUAAGUUGCUUCAGUUGUGUCCGACUCUGUGCGACCCCAUAGACAGCAGCCCACCAGGCUCCCCGGUCCCCGGGAUUCUCCAGGCAAGAACACUAGAACGGGUUGCCAUUUUCUUCUCCAAUGCAUGAAACCCCGGGUCUUUAGAUUAGAAGAGAUGGUAUGUAAAUGAUCAGCACUUCCAUUGUCUGGGAGACUUGUUUCUGACUGGCUUUCGACUGUGUUCUCGUCUUCACCUCGCUCAGUCGCACUUUUCAGAUAAAGCUUCAUAUCUCCCUGUUAUCCUUGAGCACUGCCCGCUCUUUUUUCUCCAUGUCUUCAAAUGAAUGAAAAGUUCUGCUUUAUUUCCAGGGCUUAAAAAUUAUAAAAACUCCCCGAAAACACGAAUUAUUUGUAGUGGUGACAGGCAGUUAGCA